GAGAGGUGAGACUAGCAGUGUGUGGCCUGGGACAGGAGUAGAUAAAAGGCAGCCAUGGUGAGCCAGCGCCAUGAGGAGUGGCUGCCUCUUGAAUCCUGUCAGUCUCCGGCAGAUCCGAUUACAUCUGGGACCCUUAAGAGUACUUGAAGCAAACGGCGCUGGUCUAUUUUAAUCCUGCUCCUUCUAGAAACUAGAAACUGUAAGGAGAGUCUUCCUGCUGACAGGUGGCUCCAUAAAAGUCGUCCAUCUGCUGCUAAUUAUGGCAGAAAGAAAAUUCACAGAGCCGAGUUUUCAGUUUAUUUGCUAAAGAUCUCCAAAGGUGUAACUGUCUUCCCAGAUCACAAGGCCAUUCACAGCGUUACAUCUAUAGCGCUUGUUAAUUAUUUAAAUAAUUU
Molecule: long non-coding RNA, 395 nt
Filed under: Homo sapiens (human)
Lineage: Eukaryota; Metazoa; Chordata; Mammalia; Primates; Hominidae
Description: non-protein coding lnc-VPS13C-1:1
Source: RNAcentral